GAUAAACGCUGACAGAAUGCUUAACACAUGCAAGUCGAUGGGGAAGUGGUGCUUGCACCAUGGCAACCAUGGCGGACGGGUGAGUAACGCGUAAGGGACUUACCUGCAGGACUGGGAUAACAGGGGGAAACUCCUGACAAGACCGGAUAAUGUCAUGGAGCUGCAUGGCUUUAUGAUGAAAGGAGACGCCUGCGGAGAGCCUUGCGUCCUAUUAGCUAGUUGGUGAGGUAAUGGCUCACCAAGGCGAAGAUAGGUAGCCGGCCUGAGAGGGUGGACGGCCACAAGGGGACUGAGAUACGGCCCUUACUCCUACGGGAGGCAGCAGUGGGGAAUAUUGGACAAUGGGGGCAACCCUGAUCCAGCAAUUCUGUGUGCACGAAGAAGGUUUUCGGAUUGUAAAGUGCUUUCAGCAGGGAAGAAGUAAGUGACGGUACCUGCAGAAGAAGCGACGGCUAAAUACGUG
This 463-nucleotide ribosomal RNA is filed under the name uncultured bacterium. Its description in RNAcentral is "partial 16S ribosomal RNA". It matches the Rfam family "Bacterial small subunit ribosomal RNA", at positions 28 to 507 of the family's 1533-position model. The record is from RNAcentral.